RNAcentral lists this long non-coding RNA (322 nucleotides) under Rattus norvegicus (Norway rat). RNAcentral's name for it is "long non-coding RNA NONRATT025578". The record is from RNAcentral. Lineage: Eukaryota; Metazoa; Chordata; Mammalia; Rodentia; Muridae.
UCGCCAUUGGGGAUCCUGCGCAGCUUUUUCUUCUUGAGGAUCUUGACCGCCCUGCGGCAUAAGGUCUCGGAGUCCAGCACCUCCUUCACCUUGCCGUACGAGCCCUCCCCGAGCAGGUCCCCCAUCAGGUGCUCAGGGAGAAAAAAAAUGAAAAUAAGAAUAAAAAAAAAAAAAGCAAUGAGCCCCCCCAACCCUCGCGUCCCCCUAAUUCGGGUCCCCGGGGACGCUGCUUCCGACGGAGGCGACGGUCCGCCGUCGCGGCGCGCGGGCCGCUAGGUCAUGGUCGCCACUUGGGCCCCGCGCUCAGGGGCCCAGGCGGCCG